Molecule: ribosomal RNA, 183 nt
Filed under: Microcaldota archaeon
Lineage: Archaea; Nanobdellati; Microcaldota
Description: partial 16S ribosomal RNA
Rfam family: Archaeal small subunit ribosomal RNA
Source: RNAcentral
UAACUCCAGUUGAUCCUGCUGGAGGGUACUGCUAUCAGAAUUCGACUAAGCCAUGCAAGUCUACCCCUUCUGCUAGGAGGGGUGGCAUACGGCUGAGUAGCGAGUAGUCAAUCUGCCCUAAGGAGGGGGAUAACCUCGGGAAACUGAGGCUAAUACCACAUAGGUUAUGGAUGCUGGAACGCU